This 531-nucleotide ribosomal RNA is filed under the name uncultured bacterium. Its description in RNAcentral is "bacterial SSU rRNA". It matches the Rfam family "Bacterial small subunit ribosomal RNA", at positions 355 to 896 of the family's 1533-position model. The record is from RNAcentral.
UGGGGAAUAUUGCACAAUGGGGGGAACCCUGAUGCAGCGACGCCGCGUGCGGGAUGACGGCCUUCGGGUUGUAAACCGCUUUCAGUAGGGAAGAAGCGAAAGUGACGGUACCUGCAGAAGAAGUACCGGCUAACUACGUGCCAGCAGCCGCGGUAAUACGUAGGGUACAAGCGUUGUCCGGAAUUAUUGGGCGUAAAGAGCUCGUAGGUGGUUGGUCGCGUCUGCUGUGGAAACGCAACGCUUAACGUUGCGCGUGCAGUGGGUACGGGCUGACUAGAGUGCAGUAGGGGAGUCUGGAAUUCCUGGUGUAGCGGUGAAAUGCGCAGAUAUCAGGAGGAACACCGGUGGCGAAGGCGGGACUCUGGGCUGUAACUGACGCUGAGGAGCGAAAGCAUGGGGAGCGAACAGGAUUAGAUACCCUGGUAGUCCAUGCCGUAAACGUUGGGAACUAGGUGUGGGGUCCGUUCCACGGAUUCCGUGCCGGAGCUAACGCAUUAAGUUCCCCGCCUGGGGAGUACGGCCGCAAGGCUA